GAAUUUUAUAUAAUUUUUUAUAAAAAAAAAUAAAUUAUUUAGUAUAAAUUAAAAAAUUAUAUUUUAUUGGGAGGAUAUAUAAAUUAAUAAAACUUUUUUAUAUAGAUUUAUAACAUAGAUAUAUGAAAUAUAAUAGAUUAAUUUUUUAAAAUAUAAAAAUUAAAUUAGAAUUAAUUACCUUAGGGAUAACAGCGUAAAAUUUUUAGAGAGAUCAUAUUUAUAAAAAUGUUUGC
Molecule: ribosomal RNA, 233 nt
Filed under: Holcoponera relicta
Lineage: Eukaryota; Metazoa; Arthropoda; Insecta; Hymenoptera; Formicidae
Description: partial large subunit ribosomal RNA
Source: RNAcentral